GGCUCAGGACGAACGCUGGCGGCGUGCCUAAUACAUGCAAGUCGAGCGGACAGAUGGGAGCUUGCUCCCUGAAGUCAGCGGCGGACGGGUGAGUAACACGUGGGCAACCUGCCUGUAAGACUGGGAUAACUCCGGGAAACCGGGGCUAAUACCGGAUAAUUCUUUCCCUCACAUGARGGAAAGCUGAAAGAUGGUUUCGGCUAUCACUUACAGAUGGGCCCGCGGCGCAUUAGCUAGUUGGUGAGGUAACGGCUCACCAAGGCAACGAUGCGUAGCCGACCUGAGAGGGUGAUCGGCCACACUGGGACUGAGACACGGCCCAGACUCCUACGGGAGGCAGCAGUAGGGAAUCUUCCGCAAUGGACGAAAGUCUGACGGAGCAACGCCGCGUGAGUGAUGAAGGUUUUCGGAUCGUAAAACUCUGUUGUUAGGGAAGAACAAGU
RNAcentral lists this ribosomal RNA (443 nucleotides) under Bacillus sp. R-45656. RNAcentral describes it as "bacterial SSU rRNA". It matches the Rfam family "Bacterial small subunit ribosomal RNA", at positions 21 to 454 of the family's 1533-position model. The record is from RNAcentral. Lineage: Bacteria; Bacillati; Bacillota; Bacilli; Caryophanales; Bacillaceae.